GAAAUGCGAUAAGUAAUGUGAAUUGCAGAAUUCAGUGAAUCAUUGAAUCUUUGAACGCACCUUGCGCUCCUUGGUAUUCCUUGGAGCAUGCCUGUUUGAGUAUCAUGAAAUCUUCAAAGUAAAUCUUUUGUUAACUCAAUUGGUUUCUACUUUGGUAUUGGAGGUCUUUGCAGCUUCACACCUGCUCCUCUUUGUUCAUUAGCUGGAUCUCAGUGUUAUGCUUGGUUCCACUCGGCGUGAUAAGUUAUCUAUCGCUGAGGACACUGUAAAAGGUGGCCAAGGUAAAUGCAGAUGAACCGCUUCUAAUAGUCCAUUGACUUGGACAAUACUUUUAUGAUCAGAUCUCAAAUCAGGUAGGACUACCCGCUGAACUUAAGC
This 378-nucleotide unclassified non-coding RNA is filed under the name plant metagenome. Its description in RNAcentral is "partial contains 5.8S ribosomal RNA, internal transcribed spacer 2, and large subunit ribosomal RNA". The stretch from base 1 to 105 matches the Rfam family "5.8S ribosomal RNA", at positions 50 to 154 of the family's 154-position model. The record is from RNAcentral.